CGAGGAGGGGGUUCUCCCCCGCUCGGAGCGCGCGGCUGGGGAAGAAGCUGGCGGGAAGCCGGGCCGCGCGCCGAGGAAUCGAUGAUUCGGCCUGUGGGCCGGGUCACUGCGGCGGGGCCCGGGGAGCGCCGAUAGCAUGGAUAGGCUCAGAGGGGCGCAGGGUUUUGGCGGCUUCCCGAGUUCCCCUCGCCGACCGCCAUGUCACAUCUUACGGAAGAGGCGGGGGCUGCCGCGGAGAGGAUAUUUUUUGUUUUGUUUUGUUUUCACAAGAAUCACCUGGAUGCUUCUAAAGAGGAUGUCUACCAGACCCCAUGCCGCACUAAUUAGCUCAGAAGUGGGAACCCUUCGCUAGCUCCAUGUUUUGUUCACGUGACUCUCAACCUGGUGUGGCCUGGACUCUAGUCCCUGCCUCAAGGAAAGUCCAGACUGACAUAGAAAAUCCCUGCUCACCAGCCUUGACCUUGGGAGAAAGCCCCUGACCUGUGAGUGGACAGAAGGCCUGGUGGUCAGCCCGUGGGAGCCCUGGAGCGUGCACUGCUGGAGCAGCUCAGAAAAAGCUGAGAAGCCAAGACUUGACUGUCAGUCCUGGAGAAUUAGAACAUGCCUGCUAAAUUUCAGUCCACUCUGAGGAAGGGGCAGUGCCCACAAGGAAACCUAGUGGGUGGGGUUCUGGCUGGGACUCAUCUGGAGUUCCCAGGGCAGAUGCCCGGCCCCAGCUUAUAGACCAUGAUGCGGCUGGGCUUCCGUGUCUGAUUCUUAAGUGCCUCAGGUAAACAGACUCUCCUUUGCUUUGCCAGGAGGAAUGACAUUACUAUCAGCAUUGUAAAAGUCUGUGGCCUUUGGGAGAGUAAUUUUACUUCUAAGACUCUCCUCUACAGAGAAGUGUGCACACUGUUCCCAGUGGAGUCUAUAAAGAUAGCAAAGAGCAAAGACUUAAAACAGAAUGGCUCUGGGUUUGAAGUGUUGUGUAUCUAGACAAUGAACAGCCCACCUUUAAACAAGCCCCACAUGGACUGAAGCGGAGGCAGCUCCAAAUGUAUUAGGUGACAGUGCCACAUGGCUCUGUGUGAUGGUAAGAUUAUAUGUGUACAUGUCAUCUCGAAAGGAGAAUUCGGCUUAUCUCUGGGGAGAGAGUCUGCAUCUUUUCUCAUUUGUACCGAGUAUGGAGUGUGUAUCUAUCUCUCUGUCAGAAAUGUCAAGGGAAGGGUUCACCAUUGACCUGAUGCUCACGAAGGUUAGGAACCAAUGCCAACCACAAUGCCCACCUCUACCUUCAGGAGACAGUAAACGCCUUAGAAUACAAAACCCAUAAACAACCAAGACUGUGGUGCCUGCUGGGGCUGGGCCUGAGCUGCACACAGAGGCUAGGUACCGAACAGCUGCCAUGGUAAACUGGCACAGUUAGGCACGCGGCCGGGUUCACACGCCCUCUGCCCUGACUUUAAAGACAGCAGUCUUGGCCCAGCUUCCCUCACCCCCUAUGUAUGAGCAGAGAGCUAUACUUGCUGGGUUUCCAGCUCUUGUAUUUGGACUCCUCUUCUCUUUUCUCUUUUUUGAGAGAGGGUCUCACUGUGUAUUCGUGGCUGCUCUGGAACUUCCUGGACCAGGCUGGCCUUGAUGUAGAUCUCUGCCUUCUAAAAAAUAAAAAUAUGUUUUAUGUGUAU
Long non-coding RNA from Mus musculus (house mouse), 1664 nucleotides. RefSeq annotates it as RIKEN cDNA E130307A14 gene. The record is from RefSeq and is marked validated. NCBI's taxonomy places the organism in Eukaryota, Metazoa, Chordata, Mammalia, Rodentia, Muridae. The transcript is spliced from 3 exons.